CCGUCACUGCCACCGGGUAGAGAUGCAAUAAACUUUGCGUCCGUUGACACAUCAUUAGGUCUUUGAAGAUGUGUCUGCGGGCGCUUUUUAUUU
Molecule: non-coding RNA, 93 nt
Filed under: unclassified sequences
Source: RNAcentral